GGGGUUGUGGCUCAGUGAUAGAGCACUUGCCUUGCAUGCAUGAUACGCUGAGUUCAAUCCUCAGCACCA
RNAcentral lists this transfer RNA (69 nucleotides) under Ictidomys tridecemlineatus (thirteen-lined ground squirrel). RNAcentral describes it as "Spermophilus tridecemlineatus (thirteen-lined ground squirrel) tRNA". It matches the Rfam family "tRNA". From Rfam's summary of the family: Transfer RNA (tRNA) molecules are approximately 80 nucleotides in length. Their secondary structure includes four short double-helical elements and three loops (D, anti-codon, and T loops). Lineage: Eukaryota; Metazoa; Chordata; Mammalia; Rodentia; Sciuridae. The record is from Rfam by way of RNAcentral.